GAAAGAUUCAAGUUUGGAUGCCUAUAAAGAGAUCAUUUGGAAUAAUAUACAACUAACUUUCAAUGUAGAUACAUGUCGCAAGACAUUUGUAUUAAGGAAGGCAGGGUUGUUGCUUAGGAGUUUUAGGACUUCCUUGGCCCAUAAAUAUCUAAAGGAUGACAAUGGAGAUUAUUUAGAGAAUCCUCCUAAUCAACCUCCUGAGAAGUAUGCAUCCAUUAUUAGUGAGGACAUUUGGAGACAAUUUAUUGCAAAACGUAUGGAA
RNAcentral lists this small RNA (262 nucleotides) under Vigna angularis var. angularis. RNAcentral describes it as "Non-protein coding transcript". The record is from RNAcentral. Lineage: Eukaryota; Viridiplantae; Streptophyta; Magnoliopsida; Fabales; Fabaceae.